ACUUUGUUGCAUGCAAUGGAGCAUUGUCCUGCAUAAAAAUCAUGGUUUUCUUGAAAGAUGCAGACUUUUGCCUGUACCACUGCUUGAAGAAAGUGUCUUCUAAAAACUGGCAGUGGAUUUGGGAGUUGAUUUUAAGUCCAUCUUUAACUCGAAAAGGUCCAGCUAGCCCAUCUUUAAUAAUACCAGCCCAUACCAGUACCCAGCCUCCACCUUGCUGGUGUCUGAUUCGAAGUGGAGCUCUGUGCCCAUUACUGAUCCAGCCACGGGUCCAUCCAUCCGGUCCGUCAAGAGUCACUCUCAUCCCAUCAGUCCAUAAAACCUUUGAAAAAUCUCUCUUCAGAUAUUUCUUGGCCAAGUCUUGACGUUUCAACUUGUGUCUUGUUCAGUGGUGGUCGGGUUUCAGCCUUCCUUACCUUGGCCAUGUCUCUGAGCACUGAUCAUCUUGUACCUCUGGGCAUUCCAGGUAGGUUGCAGUUCUGGAAUAUGACAGCACCGGAGGAUAAGCGGUUCCUGGUAGCUUCAUGUUUGAGUCUUCUCAAAUCUUUGGCAGUUAAUUCGCGUCUUUUUUUCUUAACACAUUUCUUGCGACCCUGUUGACGAUUUGCAUCAAAAUGUUUGCUGGUUCUGUGAUCACGCCCAAAUAUCUAAGCAAUUUCAAGAGUGCUGCAUCCCUCUGAAAGACUUUUUACAAUUUUUGACUUUUCAGAGUCAUUUAAAUCUCUUUUUUGGCCCAUUUUCCCUGAGGAAAAGAAGCUGCCUAAUAAUUAUGCACACCUUGAUAUAGGGUUUUGAUCUCCUUAGGCCCCAGCCUCCCUCAUUACACUAAUACACAUUACCUGAUAUGCUUAUAUCCAAUAAGCAUUCAAGUUUAUACAGCUUGGAGUUGGAAAAUAUGCAUAAAAAUGAUGAUAUGAUUAAAAUAUUCACUUGCCUAAUAAUUGUGCAUACAGUGUAUUUUCUAUACUCGUAUACUCGCAUUCUCUUUCGUUACCAGCUUGGUAGUAAUGUGCUGAGCCAGAACUCAGGUCUGUGUGUGUGUGUGUGUGUGUGUGUGUGUGUGUGUGUGUGUGUGUGUGUGUGUGUGUUCAGCGUUUGAAGCAAGACCUGCAAGAGAUCACUCUGUGUUCAUGCCAGAUGUGUUUCACACAUAACUCACAGGUUUUGUUAGUUCUUUUUGACACCAAAGCCGUUCCCAGGUCCUCCAGGAAAAGCCUCCUCCUGAAUCAGUUUUUCUGGUUCCAGGAGAGAUCCACAUCCCACAGCGAGGCAGUAGAUUCACCCCUCGAACAAAACAGGCCAGACAAUGAUGAUGGAUCCUGUGGGGGGUCAGAUUCCAUCCCAUCAGAAUCAAUGACCAUUGCAAGGGCCUCCGUGGUGCUGAAGCUUCUCUUCGUGCUUUCUCUUGCUCUUCUCAUGAGAAAAUGGUCAUUAGAAUCUGCAAGUUGUGGAUUGCAGGGGUGGAGCCAGGGUUGGGGCCCCCGAAGAUCAAAAGGCCAGAUAGCAGGUUUAUAAACACCUCCAGACAUAACAGCUCACUUUUGUUUUUGUUUAUUUUUUUCCACCUCUCUGUACUUCUGAGAGCUGAAGAACAUAGUUUACUUUUGUGGCCAGGUCAGUGCUGGGUCAUGACCUGCAGGCUCCUCCCCUCUCUCUCUCACAUGCACACACUCACAUGCACGCAUGCACACACGCACGCACGCAAACACCCAUUUUUUGGGGCUUCCGAUUUUGUCUGGCCUGUUUGGAAAC
Molecule: non-coding RNA, 1749 nt
Organism: Xyrichtys novacula (pearly razorfish)
Lineage: Eukaryota; Metazoa; Chordata; Actinopteri; Labriformes; Labridae
Source: the annotation of a GenBank genome assembly